Molecule: non-coding RNA, 247 nt
Organism: Lupinus albus (white lupine)
Lineage: Eukaryota; Viridiplantae; Streptophyta; Magnoliopsida; Fabales; Fabaceae
Source: the annotation of a GenBank genome assembly
UGAAAAAUAAAUACAGCUUUGUCUUGGUUUCUUUAAAGCAUUUCUUCAGGGAUGGGUUUAUCUUUACACAAUAUUUAUGAGAAUAAUGUUUACAUUUUGGUGGAGAAACAAAACUUUGUGCCAUAGGGGCCAAUAAUGGGUGUGACAUCUGGUGCAUCCACGUCAGACAAGGAUAUUGAAGAUGCACUUAUCAAAUGCAGGGAAUAUUUGCUACAGUAAAAAGUAAAGGAUACUAGUCCAUCUUCAU